CAAGNCGAGCGGCAGCGGGUCCUUCGGGAUGCCGGCGAGCGGCGGACGGGUGAGUAAUGCCUAGGAAUCUGCCUGGUAGUGGGGGAUAACUCGGGGAAACUCGAGCUAAUACCGCAUACGUCCUACGGGAGAAAGCGGGGGAUCUUCGGACCUCGCGCUACCAGAUGAGCCUAGGUCGGAUUAGCUAGUUGGUGAGGUAAAGGCUCACCAAGGCGACGAUCCGUAGCUGGUCUGAGAGGAUGAUCAGCCACACUGGAACUGAGACACGGUCCAGACUCCUACGGGAGGCAGCAGUGGGGAAUAUUGGACAAUGGGGGGAACCCUGAUCCAGCCAUGCCGCGUGUGUGAAGAAGGCCUUAUGGUUGUNAAGCACUUUAAGCGAGGAGGAGGCUACUGAGACUAAUACUCUUGGUAGUGGACGUUACUCGCAGAAUAAGCACCGGCUAACUUUGUGCCAGCAGCCGCGGUAAUACAGAGGGUG
RNAcentral lists this ribosomal RNA (481 nucleotides) under uncultured bacterium. RNAcentral's name for it is "bacterial SSU rRNA". It matches the Rfam family "Bacterial small subunit ribosomal RNA", at positions 58 to 534 of the family's 1533-position model. The record is from RNAcentral.